UUGGCCGGGCGACGGUUGUCCCGGUUUAAGCGUGUAGGUGUGUGUUCCAGGUAAAUCCGGUUCACUUUAACACUGAGGCGUGACGACGAGGCACUACGGUGCUGAAGCAACAAAUGCCCUGCUUCCAGGAAAAGCCUCUAAGCAUCAGGUAACAUCAAAUCGUACCCCAAACCGACACAGGUGGUCAGGUAGAGAAUACCAAGGCGCUUGAGAGAACUCGGGUGAAGGAACUAGGCAAAAUGGUGCCGUAACUUCGGGAGAAGGCACGCUGACACGUAGGUGAAGUGAUUUACUCAUGGAGCUGAAGUCAGUCGAAGAUACCAGCUGGCUGCAACUGUUUAUUAAAAACACAGCACUGUGCAAACACGAAAGUGGACGUAUACGGUGUGACGCCUGCCCGGUGCCGGAAGGUUAAUUGAUGGGGUCAGCGCAAGCGAAGCUCCUGAUCGAAGCCCCGGUAAACGGCGGCCGUAACUAUAACGGUCCUAAGGUAGCGAAAUUCCUUGUCGGGUAAGUUCCGACCUGCACGAAUGGCGUAAUGAUGGCCAGGCUGUCUCCACCCGAGACUCAGUGAAAUUGAACUCGCUGUGAAGAUGCAGUGUACCCGCGGCAAGACGGAAAGACCCCGUGAACCUUUACUAUAGCUUGACACUGAACAUUGAGCCUUGAUGUGUAGGAUAGGUGGGAGGCUUUGAAGUGUGGACGCCAGUCUGCAUGGAGCCGACCUUGAAAUACCACCCUUUAAUGUUUGAUGUUCUAACGUGGACCCGUUACCCGGGUUGCGGACAGUGUCUGGUGGGUAGUUUGACUGGGGCGGUCUCCUCCUAAAGAGUAACGGAGGAGCACGAAGGUUGGCUAAUCCUGGUCGGACAUCAGGAGGUUAGUGCAAUGGCAUAAGCCAGCUUGACUGCGAGCGUGACGGCGCGAGCAGGUGCGAAAGCAGGUCAUAGUGAUCCGGUGGUUCUGAAUGGAAGGGCCAUCGCUCAACGGAUAAAAGGUACUCCGGGGAUAACAGGCUGAUACCGCCCAAGAGUUCAUAUCGACGGCGGUGUUUGGCACCUCGAUGUCGGCUCAUCACAUCCUGGGGCUGAAGUAGGUCCCAAGGGUAUGGCUGUUCGCCAUUUAAAGUGGUACGCGAGCUGGGUUUAGAACGUCGUGAGACAGUUCGGUCCCUAUCUGCCGUGGGCGCUGGAGAACUGAGGGGGGCUGCUCCUAGUACGAGAGGACCGGAGUGGACGCAUCACUGGUGUUCGGGUUGUCAUGCCAAUGGCACUGCCCGGUAGCUAAAUGCGGAAGAGAUAAGUGCUGAAAGCAUCUAAGCACGAAACUUGCCCCGAGAUGAGUUCUCCCUGAGACUUAAAGUCUCCUGAAGGAACGUUGAAGACGACGACGUUGAUAGGCCGGGUGUGUAAGCGCAGCGAUGCGUUGAGCUAACCGGUACUAAUGAACCGUGAGGCUUAACCUUACAACGCCGAAG
RNAcentral lists this ribosomal RNA (1477 nucleotides) under Salmonella enterica subsp. enterica serovar Enteritidis. RNAcentral's name for it is "partial 23S ribosomal RNA". It matches the Rfam family "Bacterial large subunit ribosomal RNA", at positions 1487 to 2925 of the family's 2925-position model. The record is from RNAcentral. Lineage: Bacteria; Pseudomonadati; Pseudomonadota; Gammaproteobacteria; Enterobacterales; Enterobacteriaceae.